RNAcentral lists this ribosomal RNA (464 nucleotides) under uncultured Klebsiella sp. RNAcentral describes it as "bacterial SSU rRNA". It matches the Rfam family "Bacterial small subunit ribosomal RNA", at positions 338 to 795 of the family's 1533-position model. Lineage: Bacteria; Pseudomonadati; Pseudomonadota; Gammaproteobacteria; Enterobacterales; Enterobacteriaceae. The record is from RNAcentral.
CCUACGGGAGGCUGCAGUGGGGAAUAUUGCACAAUGGGCGCAAGCCUGAUGCAGCCAUGCCGCGUGUGUGAAGAAGGCCUUCGGGUUGUAAAGCACUUUCAGCGGGGAGGAAGGCGGUGAGGUUAAUAACCUCAUCGAUUGACGUUACCCGCAGAAGAAGCACCGGCUAACUCCGUGCCAGCAGCCGCGGUAAUACGGAGGGUGCAAGCGUUAAUCGGAACUACUGGGCGUAAAGCGCACGCAGGCGGUCUGUCAAGUCGGACGUGAAAUCCCCGGGCUCAACCUGGAACUGCAUUCGAAACUGGCAGGCUAGAGUCUUGUAGAGGGGGGUAGAAUUCCAGGUGUAGCGGUGAAAUGCGUAGAGAUCUGGAGGAAUACCGGUGGCGAAGGCGGCCCCCUGGACAAAGACUGACGCUCAGGUGCGAAAGCGUGGGGAGCAAACAGGAUUAGAUACCCUAGUAGUC